This is a long non-coding RNA of Pectinophora gossypiella (pink bollworm), 1282 nucleotides long. RefSeq lists it as uncharacterized. The transcript is spliced from 3 exons. NCBI's taxonomy places the organism in Eukaryota, Metazoa, Arthropoda, Insecta, Lepidoptera, Gelechiidae. The record is from RefSeq and is a predicted model, not a curated record.
ACUGCAGCUGUUUUGUUUGCCGCCUAAUUGUUAAUCAUACCUACACAUCUGCAGACGAUUCAGACUACAAAUUACUAAAAACCAGGAAAGGAAAUUGUAAUUGACUGCCGAAUACUCAAAUCAAGGGAAUUUGGGUAUUGUUUAGACUAGACCUUAUACGUAAGAUGGCGCUACGAGUAUCAAAUUGAGAUAAAACGCCGACGAAGGGCGUCUUAUAACCGGCACCUGAUACACCUACUUACUACCAUUAAAGCAUUGAACUUUAUUAACAGAGGGAUAACAAACACAUCUCAAGAACUUCGUAUCUGUGAUGACGUAGUGUUUAGCCGCUGUGGGUGAAAGUACGCGAGAGGCCAUAUUCCUUCUACGAUUUGGAAAUAGCUCUUCAUCACUGUUCCAACGAUUAACUAAUUGAAAUCGAUUCGUGGUAAUCGGAAAAGUUGUGGGCCGAUUAGCCACGCGUAGGUAAAUAGGUCAGCUUUAAUCAAUCAGUCACCGUUUUGCUUUGUCCAACAAUUUUCUUCUCAUUACUUUUUACGAAUUGUUUUGAAGCCUACAUUGAUUGACACGAAACGCCCCGCAAUAUUUUUUGCUUUACAAUAUUUAAAUCAAUCUAUUUUGGUCAUUAUGCAAAGUUUCACUAAAAGAAAGUUUUCAAUUGAAUGCUCGUAAAUCGUAUCGAAAAUUGCUAAAUGCUAGACUUUUUGCUUAUUAAAUACAAUUUAGUCAAGGAAUAGGUAUUUCAGCUAGUCUAGACUCUAGAAAGCUUUUUCGUUGUGAGACAAUAAAGUGUAUUAGUAGUGGUUUGUAGGUGUGUUAAGGUGAACGCACACCUAGAAGCGUCGCAUGCGCCGAAUCCAUCGCAUUUUCUAUAUCUUUGUAUGAAAUUGUUUGUAAAGUCGCGCACCUAUCCGUGCCGCACGACGCGCAUAGACGAUGUCUUCGGCGCGUGCGGUUCCUGCGGCUGCUGUAUUGAGGCUAGUGAUGUCACAGUAGGUAUUUGUUGUAAAGGGUUGUACGAGAUUUAUGCAUUUUAAUUAUUUUAGACAAUGUAUUUAUAACUUAAGUUACGAGUGACAAUAAAUCGUGUCUUAUCUUGUUAAACAAGUGCUUCCAGUCAAAUAAGUUCUAAUUAAGAUAAAUAAAGUUCAAAUAGCAUUAAGUAGGUUUUAAUUAUAGAUUUAAAGUUUGUGAAACACAGUGUGCCAUAAGAGUUCGAGUUCCUUUUACAUUUUGUAGUUGCUUAUGUAUUUUGUGUGAAACACGUUGAGUUUGUUUAAAG